Ananas comosus (pineapple) is the source of this 898-nucleotide long non-coding RNA. RefSeq lists it as uncharacterized. NCBI's taxonomy places the organism in Eukaryota, Viridiplantae, Streptophyta, Magnoliopsida, Poales, Bromeliaceae. The transcript is spliced from 4 exons. The record is from RefSeq and is a predicted model, not a curated record.
AUUUCGCAGCUCCCUUGCAGCAGGUAGCUGAGGGAAAGGUUGCUAAGGAGUGGGGGAGAGAUUUUGGCAGCUCGGGAAGGGGGCUGUGGCUGCGGAGUUUCAAUCCGAAGCUAGGGGAAGGUACUACCAAAGCUGUGAGAAGGUAAUUGAGUGCUUAGACGCAUAAUUGAUGCUAUAUAAGUUAUAAAUAUGAAGUAUGAAUGCUGAUUUUGGGAGUUUGUGUUCUCAGCAGCUGGAAUCUUCACUUUAAACUGAGUAUUACAAUCUUAUGAGCUGAUUUUGAAUGUAAUUUAACCAGAGGAAAGUGAGAAUUCAAGUUGGGAAUCUACGCAAGCUGAAUUCCAGCAUAUUCUAAGAAAUCGCAUAGGUGUACUAACACUGUUUGAGCAGUGUUCGCAGCAGGUUUGCCAAAGGCUAUCGGAUUGUUCUCGGCUGAUAUUUAGGAGCUUUUGGAGGUUAAGGUGAGUACCUUAACCUGAACCAAAGCAGGGGUUCAAGCUACAGCCGUGUGCAAGGUGCGAAGAUCACUUUGGGCUGAACAUUGAGCCCCUUUUUGGGCUGAAUUAAACUGAGUUUGGGAGUACUUCAACCUGAAUUAAGCAGAGGUUUAGUUUCAGUCUAAGCCUAGAGCCAUCCACUACGGAAGAGGUUAGGGAUCGCGGCAAGGGAGUCGCGUCUAGCUAGAGAUAGCGUGGAGCCCUACUAGGUGAUCACCUCGCUACCUGGACAUAUGGACGAGAGUGAUGUGUACCCUAUGUAGAGAGACUACCAUUUCUGUAUAUAUAGUUUUGGGUGACUCUAUGAUGUAUAUUUGUUUAGAACAGUGGAUUUACAGUUUUGGGUUUUAUCUUUUGUUGAGCUUUGUAGGGUUAUACUUACUUUUCUCUAGUAAUAGUAC